CUGCGUACAAAGAAGAACAUUUGGCUGCCGCCGCACAACUACCAGCCACACACACAAUCACGCUGGGAACCUGCCAUUUUGCGCCCGCCGCCGCUAUCCACGGCCCAGAUCCGGUCCCGGAGGGGCCCGCAAACGCAGCCAAGGUGUCGUGCGGGUGGGAGCUGUUAGACCUCGGACUGGUCCUGGACCGGGGCCCUCUGCAGGAAAAGGUCGCUGCCGUGCGUGGCGUCGCUCAUGUGGUCCGAGUUGGCUGGCGAAAUGGGCGACGGCUGCUGGAAGCCUGACGAGGGCGAGUGGUGGUUGACGGCGGCGAAGGGCGAGAACUCGGUGGUCUGCCACUGCCUCGACAGCAGACUGUUGAUGGCCUGCGAGUUCUGCAGCAGUCCUGAGGCCGUCGACAUAGAGUAGUUGCUCAGCACGGACGAGGCCACCGCGGCCGCGGCGGCUGCUUUGCUGCUGGGUCUCCGGUACGAACAGUCUGCGAAAGUGGAGGAAUUCAGUUUAUUUUAUUUCCAUCUCGCAAGAGUUGAGAUAAAAAGAGAAGCAGACCAGUUUUAGCGAGAAGAUCAUAUGCAACCGACGCUUCAUGCCUGCUGAGCAAUUUGCCUAAUUCUGAGUUCUGAAGGGGUGCUUUGUUGAAAAGCUCGGAAAUUGUGAUGAGUUGCUUCGUUUUUUUAUCUGAAAAUGUAUUUUUCUCGUUUUCAUUUUUUUCUAAAUUAAAAUUUGCUCACGUCAAAUGCAAAUCAA
This is a long non-coding RNA of Cloeon dipterum, 747 nucleotides long. RefSeq lists it as uncharacterized. The record is from RefSeq and is a predicted model, not a curated record. The transcript is spliced from 3 exons. NCBI's taxonomy places the organism in Eukaryota, Metazoa, Arthropoda, Insecta, Ephemeroptera, Baetidae.